This is a long non-coding RNA of Herpailurus yagouaroundi (jaguarundi), 345 nucleotides long. RefSeq lists it as uncharacterized. NCBI's taxonomy places the organism in Eukaryota, Metazoa, Chordata, Mammalia, Carnivora, Felidae. The record is from RefSeq and is a predicted model, not a curated record. The transcript is spliced from 3 exons.
UCAGUUCUACACCACAAUAAAGGGAGUCAAAUUAAUUUUUUGGUUUCCCAGGGCAUAUAAAAAUUAUUACUAAAAAAACAAUACAUAUAUAUAUAUACAUAUAUAUAUAUACCUUAAUUCAAAAAUAUUUUAUUGCUAAAAAAUGCUAACCAUCAUCUGAGCUUUCAGUGAGUUGUAAUCUUUUUUGCUGGUGGAGGGUCUUGCCUCAAUCUUGAUAGCUGCUACUGAUCAGGAUGGUAGUGGCUGAAGGCUGAGUGGCUGUGGCAAUUCUCUAAAACUGGACAAUUUUGUAUUGUAUCGACUCUUCCUUUUGUAAACAAUUUCUCUGUAACGUGAUGCUUUUGA